CUGAGUGUGGGUAGUCAAACUCCACAAUUAAGAAUGUAGAUCUGAAAGUCCUCUCUAAUCACUCAUAGCCGCACAAACAUCCGACCUCUAUGGAUGAUCCACACGAAGUCCUCCGAUCGAUCAGCCCUCCGUGGGAGUGCUAGCUCGCGCAGUCGGCUUCUGAUGGCAGAUCUGAUUUGAUCUCUUUCUUCAAUCAUCUUGAAUCUUUUUGAUAUCAAAGAUAGAGUAGAGGGAGAUGCUAGAUAGUGGAGAAAAAUCUGAUGAAGACUCUCUUCUCUAUAGUUUUUCUCUCACCCAAAACCCUAGAACAAUUCUAGGUCACUCACCCGAG
This 331-nucleotide long non-coding RNA is filed under the name Elaeis guineensis (African oil palm). Its description in RNAcentral is "long non-coding RNA (EGUI_LNC046763)". Lineage: Eukaryota; Viridiplantae; Streptophyta; Magnoliopsida; Arecales; Arecaceae. The record is from RNAcentral.